AUCCACUGAGACUAAAGGCCACCUGCGGCUCAACACCAAAGCUGCUCUGUUGCCACUUUGACAGCUGUUAUUGACUUGAAGCAUUUAGCUUUAAGUAUCAUGCAGUGCAAAGUGCCUAUCAAAGCUAUUUCCUGUACACACAGGCCAGUAAUAAAAGGUUAGUUAAAAUAGUAAAGACAUAAUAUUUUUUCAUUACAUAUUUUACAUCCCACUUGUGAACAAAAGCACAAAAUAAGAAUGCUUUACUUUGAUUUGUGAUGUAGGCCAAUCAUGUGGCUCUUGAUGCUGGACUAAAUUCUAUAAGAAAUUAUCCUCAAAUCAAUAUUUUGUCUAAGCAUUCUGUCAACCUUAUAUAGCAUAAUUUUAGGUGAAAUACUCAAAUUAAUCCUAAACCUAUUCUAGUCAAUCCACAUUCUAGUACAGUAUAGACACAGAAAUCUUCUAGUACAUUGUGUCUAGUACAUGUCUCAUUGUUAUCUUAAAAAAAAGGAACCAUCGGAGUGUAUCUGCUGUAAUCUCUAAUAAAAAAAGGUUAAAUAACAAAAUACCCCCCAAAAAACAUGAAAAUAAUAUAUAUGGAAAAACUAAAACAUUUUCUGCCAGAAUAACAUCCUCAAAAACAACAUUUAUCAUGGAAUUCAAAGCACAUAAGCUACAACUGUUUAAAAAAAAAGUGUUUUAGGGUGGAUUGCUCUGUUAAGUACGUAGACGUGGAGCUUACUAUCUGUAAGUAGAGAUGGGGCAAAUUUGUUUUGUGAUAUCUUGCCAAAACACUGACAGAACUGUCAUAAUAGUCUAUGCUAAGUGAUGUGAUACUACGGCAGAGGUAUAUUUUCCUUGAUAUUUUACCAUAAGAGUGACAUUUGAGUGCAUAAACUGUAGAUAUCUUGGUGUGAGCGCUAAAAACAUCAUGUUGCAAUUUGUUACACACUGUUGCAUCUUGGUUGUUUGUAAAAUUCUGCAAAUAUGAAAACUUUUAAUAAUAUACUGAAUUAAAGGGAAUGUUUUCCUCUAUAGGUACAUAUAUAAUAAUGUACCAUGGCUGACUGUCAUAGAUCAUAGAUUGACCUACUGUAUAUUCUGUUAAUAUGCUGAUACCAGUGUAUUGCGAACAAUAAUGUAUCUUAUCAUGAGUUACCCUGUGAAUCCUGGCUCUGGUAUUAAGGAAACGUGUGGCAUCAGCUCAUUAGUGGACUGAAAGUCCAGGGUAACAAUAUUGACUGCACAGACCAGGAAUUGAUCCAGCUAAUCUACCUGGAGUCUUAUUUGUUGGCUUUAAACUGGCCUUUCCUGCAAAGCCCCUAUCAGACUGUGUGACAUGGUGCCAAUGGUGGAGUACUGAUAUCAGUGACCCUUCCACUGAGCAGAUAUGUAAUAAGCAUUGAUAUAACCUGUUCAUCACCCCCAUUCUUCUGGCCUCAUCUCAAUGUGACAUGCUGCAAAAUCAUAAAGUGCCCAGCUCCACCCUGUAGGGAAUCUCAUGUGUUGCAAUCAAGCCAGGGGCCCAUCCUGUCUUCUCAAUCAACAUGUAUAGGCCGACUCUGCAGGAACAACCAGCUGACUGAUUUCCAUCACAGAACUCAUCCUGACAUUUUGACAUGUCUGCACUGUAGUUAGACUACAGAAGGUCGACAACUCCAUCGAUCCUAAAUCCGAGAGAUGCUCCUCGUCGUCGGGACGCAGCGCUUCAUCCUUGCCCACCGGGGUGCUCGAGGUCGCGGGUGGGGCGCUGCAGCCGUCUGCGUUGGAGACAGACCUGCUGGGAGUGGG
Molecule: long non-coding RNA, 1770 nt
Organism: Siniperca chuatsi (mandarin fish)
Lineage: Eukaryota; Metazoa; Chordata; Actinopteri; Centrarchiformes; Sinipercidae
Exons: 3
Source: RefSeq, a predicted model, not a curated record